Molecule: ribosomal RNA, 404 nt
Filed under: uncultured bacterium
Lineage: Bacteria
Also listed under: 2 other names
Description: bacterial SSU rRNA
Rfam family: Bacterial small subunit ribosomal RNA
Source: RNAcentral
UGAGGAAUAUUGCACAAUGGAGGAAACUCUGAUGCAGCAACGCCGCGUGGAGGAUGACGCAUUUCGGUGUGUAAACUCCUUUUAAGAGGGAAGAUUAUGACGGUACCUCUUGAAUAAGCACCGGCUAACUCCGUGCCAGCAGCCGCGGUAAUACGGAGGGUGCAAGCGUUACUCGGAAUCACUGGGCGUAAAGGGUGCGUAGGCUGACUUUUAAGUCAGGCGUGAAAUCCAAUGGCUUAACCAUUGAACUGCGCUUGAAACUGGGAGUCUAGAGUUCAGAAGGGGCAGAUGGAAUUAGUGGUGUAGGGGUAAAAUCCGUAGAUAUCACUAGGAAUAUCAAAAGCGAAGGCGAUCUGCUGGGAUGAUACUGACGCUGAGGCACGAAAGCGUGGGGAGCAAACAGG